Molecule: ribosomal RNA, 497 nt
Filed under: uncultured bacterium
Lineage: Bacteria
Description: partial 16S ribosomal RNA
Rfam family: Bacterial small subunit ribosomal RNA
Source: RNAcentral
GAUGAACGCUGGCGGCGUGCCUAAUACAUGCAAGUCGAGCGAACGGACGAGAGGCUUGCUUCUCUGAUGUUAGCGGCGGACGGGUGAGUAACACGUGGAUAACCUACCUAUAAGACUGGGAUAACUUCGGGAAACCGGAGCUAAUACCGGAUGAUAUUUUGAGCCGCAUGGUUCAAAAGUGAAAGACGGUCUUGCUGUCACUUAUAGAUGGAUCCGCGCUGCAUUAGCUAGUUGGUAAGGUAACGGCUUACCAAGGCAACGAUGCAUAGCCGACCUGAGAGGGUGAUCGGCCACACUGGAACUGAGACACGGUCCAGACUCCUACGGGAGGCAGCAGUAGGGAAUCUUCCGCAAUGGGCGAAAGCCUGACGGAGCAACGCCGCGUGAGUGAUGAAGGUCUUCGGAUCGUAAAACUCUGUUAUUAGGGAAGAACAUAUGUGUAAGUAACUGUGCACAUCUUGACGGUACCUAAUCAGAAAGCCACGGCUAACUACGUG